RNAcentral lists this ribosomal RNA (468 nucleotides) under uncultured bacterium. RNAcentral describes it as "partial 16S ribosomal RNA". It matches the Rfam family "Bacterial small subunit ribosomal RNA", at positions 28 to 507 of the family's 1533-position model. The record is from RNAcentral.
GACGAACGCUGGCGGCGUGCUUAACACAUGCAAGUCGAACGGAAAGGCCCUGCGUUUGUGGGGUGCUCGAUUGCCGAACGCGUGAGUAACACGUGUGUAACCUGCCCUUGUCUUUCGGAUAACUUCACGAAACUGGGGCUAAUACCGGAUAGGAGCUCCUGCUCCAUGGUGGGGAUUGGAACGUUUCGGCGGUUGCGGAUGGACUCGCGGCUUAUCAGCUUGUUGGUGGGGUAGUGGCUUACCAAGGCUGUGACGGGUAGGCGGCAUGAGAGGGUGACCGGGCACAAUGGGCCUGAGGGACGGAGCAGACGGGAACGUGAGGCAGUAGGCGGGAGUAUGGCACAGUGGUACGGCGUCGGAUGCGAAGGCGCCGGGUGCGGGAUGACGGUCUGUGGGUAAAGAACAGCUGUCGCCUGAGACGAAGCGUUAGUGACGGUAAUGAAUAAAGAAGCACCGGCUAACUACGUG